CGCAAGGUGAACCAGUAACUUGGAAGAAUGAAACUGUAUUUGUAUAAAUACAAUAGCGAUUCAUUCGCAUAAAAUUCUAAAUAAAUUAAAUAUAAUGACAUAAUUUAUUUAUAAGUCUUGGCCAACCUACGUGCCAGCAGUCGCGGUAAUACGUAGGAGGCUAGUGUUAGUUAUCUUUAUUGGGCUUUAAAGGGUAAGUAGACGGUAAAUUAAACUCUAAACGAGUACUUNNUUACUAGAGUUAUAUGAGAGAAGGAAGAAUUCCUGGAGUAGAGAUAGAAUUCGCUAAUACCAGGAGGACUGUCNGCGGCGAAGGCGUCCUUCUAUGUAAUAUCUGACNUUGAGAGNCGGAGGCUUGGGUACCAAAUAGGANUAGAUCACCCUACUAGNCCAAUCAGACNAUGNUGAAUGUCAUGCAUUAGAUAUAUAUUUAAUNCAUAANCGNAAGUGUAAGCAUNCCACCUCUAGAGUNCUNUGCCAACANAUAAACUGAAAUCAUUAGACCGUUUCUAACACCAGUAGU
This 523-nucleotide ribosomal RNA is filed under the name Sparassis spathulata. Its description in RNAcentral is "partial small subunit ribosomal RNA". It matches the Rfam family "Bacterial small subunit ribosomal RNA", at positions 376 to 933 of the family's 1533-position model. Lineage: Eukaryota; Fungi; Basidiomycota; Agaricomycetes; Polyporales; Sparassidaceae. The record is from RNAcentral.